Molecule: ribosomal RNA, 96 nt
Filed under: Clostridium botulinum
Lineage: Bacteria; Bacillati; Bacillota; Clostridia; Eubacteriales; Clostridiaceae
Description: partial 16S ribosomal RNA
Rfam family: Bacterial small subunit ribosomal RNA
Source: RNAcentral
UUUAAAUUUAGAGUUUGAUCCUGGCUCAGGACGAACGCUGGCGGCGUGCUUAACACAUGCAAGUCGAGCGAUGAAGCUUCCUUCGGGAAGUGGAUU